CUACCCAUGAGCAGGAUGAAGCGAAAGUAAAAUUUCGUGGAGGUCCGAACCCACGAGCGUUGAAAAGCUCGGGGAUGACUUGUGGGUAGCGGUGAAAUUCCAAUCGAGCCCGGAGAUAGCUGGUUCUCCCCGAAAUAGCUUUAGGGCUAGCCUCAAGGUGAGAGAUACGGAGGUAGAGCACUGAAUGUCCUAGGGGGUAUUGCACCUACCGAAGACUAUCAAACUCCGAAUGCCGUCAUCUUAUACUUGGGAGUCAGACUGUGGGUGAUAAGAUUCAUAGUCGAAAGGGCAACAGCCCAGAUCGUCAGCUAAGGUCCCUAAAUGUAAGUUAAGUGGUAAAGGAUGUGGGAUUGCACAGACAACCAGGAUGUUGGCUUAGAAGCAGCCACUCAUUCAAAGAGUGCGUAAUAGCUCACUGGUCGAGUGAUCCUGCGCCGAAGAUUGCCGGGGCUAAAACUUACUACCGAAGCUACGGCAUCAGUAAUGAUGGGUAGGGGAGCUUCCCAUACGGGUUGAAGCAUGACCGUAAGGACAUGUGGACAGUAUGGGAGUGAGAAUGUUGGCAUGAGUA
This 571-nucleotide ribosomal RNA is filed under the name Clostridioides difficile. Its description in RNAcentral is "bacterial LSU rRNA". It matches the Rfam family "Bacterial large subunit ribosomal RNA", at positions 730 to 1308 of the family's 2925-position model. Lineage: Bacteria; Bacillati; Bacillota; Clostridia; Peptostreptococcales; Peptostreptococcaceae. The record is from RNAcentral.